Molecule: ribosomal RNA, 301 nt
Filed under: uncultured bacterium
Lineage: Bacteria
Description: partial 16S ribosomal RNA
Rfam family: Bacterial small subunit ribosomal RNA
Source: RNAcentral
CAGCCGCCGCGGUAAUACGAAGGGGGCUAGCGUCGUUCGGAUUUACUGGGCGUAAAGCGCACGUAGGCGGAUCGAUCAGUCAGGGGUGAAAUCCCAGAGCUCAACUCUGGAACUGCCUUUGAUACUGUCGAUCUGGAGUAUGGAAGAGGUGAGUGGAAUUCCGAGUGUAGAGGUGAAAUUCGUAGAUAUUCGGAGGAACACCAGUGGCGAAGGCGGCUCACUGGUCCAUUACUGACGCUGAGGUGCGAAAGCGUGGGGAGCAAACAGGAUUAGAUACCCCCGUAGUCCCUGUCUCUUAUAC